Molecule: non-coding RNA, 377 nt
Filed under: Brassica napus (rape)
Lineage: Eukaryota; Viridiplantae; Streptophyta; Magnoliopsida; Brassicales; Brassicaceae
Description: Eukaryotic large subunit ribosomal RNA
Rfam family: Eukaryotic large subunit ribosomal RNA
Source: Rfam by way of RNAcentral
UUUGUUCACCCACCAAUAGGGAACGUGAGCUGGGUUUAGACCGUCGUGAGACAGGUUAGUUUUACCCUACUGAUGCCCGCGUCGCAAUAGUAAUUCAACCUAGUACGAGAGGAACCGUUGAUUCGCUGUCUGUGUGUGCUGACGGACAGUCUAUUGUUGUUCAAUCCCAGAAUUGUAGUCAAAUAAAUUUAGUCUCAGAUACUGGGUACUUCAUAUAUGAUAUAAUCCAUAAACAAAAAAAGGAGUAAAAACCUCCUAUUGAACCCAGGUUAAUAGGGGAAAAAGAUGUGCCAGUUGCCACUGCACUAAAUAGAUUCUUUACAAUAUUUGCUGAGUCAAAAGUAUAUAAACUCUCUGCGCUGUAAAAAUAAUUGUGU